AAAAACUGAAGAUAUCGAUUUUAUAAUUUGUUUGAUUAGUCACGGUACCAACACUUUCCAAAUAAACAUGGUCAGUUUGAUUUUAGUAAAUACAUUGAACUCGACCUAUGUAUACCCUUAACUCAAAUGUUUACAUAAAAUUUGUUAUUUCCUAAGUUCCUCUUCACCUCUUUUAUAAAGAAGAUUACAAACAUCAAGGUUUCAAACCUAAAACCAACAAAUCGAAUAAUAAAUGACAGGAAAUAUAAAGAAUAGCAAUUCUAGUGACCCUAACUACAAAAAGAGAAGGUUCGAGAGGAGCAAAAUUGCUAUCAGAAGCUAAGCUGAUAUUAGACCGACAUACCCAGCAACUAAUGCCAACAGGCAUGACACAACAUACGCACCAGCAACAAUAGUCGGUUCUUCGAAUCCACAUAAUUCAAGGUGAUGAUGAAAAGGUGCCAUCCGAAACAGGUGGUGCCCAGCUCCACUCAACCACCUAGUUGCCUUGAAGUAUGCUGCCUGCAUAAUAACUGAUGAUGUUUCCAAAAAAAAGAAUCCAGAUGAAAUAAAUAAUGGAAAGAACAUUCCAGUGCAAGCAGCCAUUGCAGCUAAUCCUCCACCUAAUGCCAAGGAUCCUAUAUCUCCCAUAAAUAUAGAUGCCCUGUAUCGGUUGUGCAACAGAAAACCAACACAGGCUCCUGCCAUUGAUGCUCCAAAAAUAGCAAGUUCUGAACAUAUUGGUAGUACUGCAAUCGACAUUGCUACAAAAGCCAGUGCAGCAGUCCCACCAGCUAGCCCAUCAAGCCCAUCUGUUAAGUCAACUCCACUUCCCAUGGAAACAAAACAAAAUGAAGUCAACAAUAAGUAACAUUUUCCAAGGCACACAAGGCCCAAUGGUGCAGGUAGAGGAAUCAACAUUUUCCAUCAGAUAAAUGUUGAUCAUAUUAGUUACAAGAAUGUAUACAUGCUGUAGGGUGAUGAUAUACUUGUAGUGUCCAACCAAAAGGCAAACAAGGUCCCAGCAGCCAUCUCCAAGAACAAUUUUAUCUGUGAAGAUAGACCAUUGUUAUGAUUCUUAAUGAGGCUUAAGAUGUCAUCUAGUAGACCAAUUGAAGCAAAUGCUAGUGUUGCUACUGCUGCUCCAGAAACUUCAACAGAAGAAAAACCAGCUAUGAGUUUUGCAACACCGAUGCCAAUUGGAAUAAAAAAUAAACCACCCAUUGUGGGGGUUCCCCUUUUCUUGUGGUGCCUAACCGGUGCUUCGUUCCUUACAUUUUGAUGAACCUUCAAAGCAUUGAGAAACGGAACAAAAAGAUAACCCACAGUAGAAACUAAAGCUGUUGAUAUAAAAAAGGGUCGGGACAAAUAAAAUGGAGCAAGGGGUUGUCUGACAAUUUUCCAUGCACACCAAUCCACAAAUAAAAGCAGCGCCAAAAGGAAGACAAUCAAUCCCAAAUUAUUUAGAAUCCCAAGUCUGAUCCUGCAUUACAAAAUGAAAAAAUAACAUCAAACCAUUUCUAAAGCAUUAGAGGUGAAUUAAACACAUCCUCACCCCUGCUAAUAUUAGCGGACUAGAGAUACUCAAUCAGGUUUGCGAUGGGGUGAAAUUGCCAUUUCCACACUUGUAGUCUUGUUAGUCACAAUGUGUCAUCAAAUGUCUAAAGCAUUAAGUAAGCAUUGACCAUCCAAUGCAAUGAAAACAGAAUCGUAAAAAAUCACUAUAGUGCACUUGCCUAUGUUUUCUGCGCCCCUUUGCAAUCAUUGCGAAUCUGGUAGCCGUAACUGUGAGAGCAUCAUUUGUUGAUACAUUACCAGAAGGCAAAUCAAUAUCAGAGACUGGAUUUAAGAUAAAGUCGCCAUCACUAUCUUCCCCAUCGCUGGAUGAUAUCAGGGUCCCAGCGGUGCCCUCAUCGAUACCCCAAUCAUCAAGUAGCGAUAUGUUAAAUGUAUCCUACAAAACCCAAAACAAGAUACUAAGAAUUGCAGUUUAAAGUGCAUGAGCAAAACUGAUUCUAUAGUUAUGCAUAUGUAAUUUAAUACUUCCCUCCGCAAAUGGAUCUCAGAAUUGAAAUGCAGCUCUUCAAUGUCUCAUCAAGGGCCCUAACUUGAAAAAUCCUAUUUCGCAAUCGAUAACCACGCCGCUUUCUAACGUUUGAUAUAUUUAACUUGAAACCGUGAAAUAGAUUAGCGGUAAAAGGAGAAAAGGGCUUCCGAUAUCGAAAAAGGCCAGAAAAAGGGAGAUGUUGAUGGUGAUACAGAGACCACAUGACGGCUAUAGAAGAAAGAAAAGAGAGGAGCAGAUUUGGAAACAGAGGUUGGUGCGAGGAGAGGGGCCAUUAACAAUAAAGAGACUAAGGGAGGAGGGUAUAUUCCAAUACAGAAGCAUAAUUUAUUUACUUUCCAAAAAUAGCCUAUGUUGCGUACAGUUACAAUGGGCGGAGGAAGACAAAAG
This 2434-nucleotide unclassified non-coding RNA is filed under the name Hevea brasiliensis (rubber tree). The record is from RNAcentral. Lineage: Eukaryota; Viridiplantae; Streptophyta; Magnoliopsida; Malpighiales; Euphorbiaceae.